AUUGAACGCUGGCGGCAGGCUUAACACAUGCAAGUCGAUCGGGGUGAUGGUGCUUGCACUAUCACUUAGCGGCGGACGGGUGAGUAAUGCUUAGGAAUCUGCCUAUUAGUGGGGGACAACAUCUCGAAAGGGAUGCUAAUACCUCAUACGUCCUACGGGAGAAAGCAGGGGAGCACUUGUGACCUUGCGCUAGUAGAUGAGCCUAAGUCGGAUUAGCUAGUUGGUGGGGUAAAGGCCUACCAAGGCGACGAUCUGUAGAGGGUCUGAGAGGAUGAUCCGCCACACUGGGACUGAGACACGGCCCAGACUCCUACGGGAGGCAGCAGUGGGGAAUAUUGGACAAUGGGGGGGACCCUGAUCCAGCCAUGCCGCGUGUGUGAAGAAGGCCUUAUGGUUGUAAAGCACUUUAAGCGAGGAGGAGGCUCUUUUGGUUAAUACCCAAGAUGAGUGGACGUUACUCGCAGAAUAAGCACCGGCUAACUCUGUGCCAGCCGCCGCAGUAA
RNAcentral lists this ribosomal RNA (503 nucleotides) under uncultured bacterium. RNAcentral describes it as "partial 16S ribosomal RNA". It matches the Rfam family "Bacterial small subunit ribosomal RNA", at positions 30 to 523 of the family's 1533-position model. The record is from RNAcentral.